UUUAAUAUAGUCUAAUUCACUCUAUCAAAUACAUUAUAAUAACUAAAGUUAAUAUCGUCUAAUAUUGUGAUAUUUCAUUAUAAAUUCCAACCUACAAUUAAGGUACGGCAGCUACCACUCAAAAGACAAUGCUAAAUGCCAACAAACGUAAAAAGACAAAAUUUGUUCCAUUGUCUUCGUGGAGGAAAUUCUUAGAUUACAAAACCCUAAUUCAAGAGAAAAUAAUUGGCCCCCAUCCAAGAAUAUUCUAGGUAUUAGAAGCAUAUACGUUACUGUAUUAUUAGUAGUUAUAUUCAAUGUGGUUGUAAGUUGUGAUUUCAUUGGUUAAGUAUAUUCCCUAUUUGUUUAUAUUAUCUUCAAGAAGAAAAAGAUAUUCUGGUUUCUCGAGAAUCUGCCACUAUUCAAGGUUGCAUGAUCCAUGGAUUUAAUAAAGAGGGUAUUGGUUGCAUGUGCUAAUCACUACGUUCUUUUUUUGUAUACCUAGGGGUUAAGAGUGAAUCACCC
RNAcentral lists this long non-coding RNA (504 nucleotides) under Olea europaea (common olive). RNAcentral describes it as "long non-coding RNA (OEUR_LNC004139)". Lineage: Eukaryota; Viridiplantae; Streptophyta; Magnoliopsida; Lamiales; Oleaceae. The record is from RNAcentral.